CUCGGUUUUAUUCUUAUUGCUCAGGCUUGAGUGCACUGGCCUCUUCUCAGCUCAACCUCCGCCUCUUGGGUUCGGGUAAUGAUGGUUCCACGUCAGCGGCCCUCCGCCUCUUGGGUUUGCGUGACGGUUCCACGUCACCGACCCUCCGCCUCUUGGGUUCGGGUGAUGAUGGUUCCACGUCAGCGGCCCUCCGCCUCUUGGGUUUGCGUGACGGUUCCACGUCAGCGGCCCUCCGCCUCUUGGGUUUGCGUGACGGUUCCACGUCACCGACCCUCCGCCUCUUGGGUUCGGGAGGUGGUUCCAUCUCAGCCGCCCUCUGCCUCUUGGGUUUGCGUGGUUUUUCUGCCUCAGCCUCCUGAGUAGCUAAGGGAGGUGUCUUGAGAUUAUCAUCGGCUGAGGGUGGAAGCGGCCCCCGCAGACGCUCGGCAGGUGUCUUGAUAUUAUCAUCUGCUGAGGGUGGAAGGGCAGUGAGCUGACGCUCGGAAGGUGUCUUGAGAUUAUCAUCCGCUGAGGGUGGAAGGGGAUGGAGCAGACACUCGGCACGUGUCUUGAGAUUAUCAUCCGCUGAGGGUGGAGCUGAGGGUAGAGCUGAGGGUGGAAGGGGAGUGAGCAGACACUCGGGAGGUGUCUUGAGAUUAUCAUCCGCUGAGGGUGGAAGGGGAGUGAGCAGACACUCAGGAGGUGUCUUGAGAUUAUCAUCCGCUGAGGGUGGAAGGGGAGUGAGCAGACACUCGGGAGGUGUCUUGAGGCUCAGGGAGUUAUCAGUUAUAGAAUGUUGUUGAGUUGGAGGAGGUGGCUG
This 799-nucleotide long non-coding RNA is filed under the name Homo sapiens (human). RNAcentral describes it as "PREDICTED lncRNA (TCONS_00101843)". Lineage: Eukaryota; Metazoa; Chordata; Mammalia; Primates; Hominidae. The record is from RNAcentral.